This 1392-nucleotide ribosomal RNA is filed under the name Limosilactobacillus reuteri. Its description in RNAcentral is "bacterial SSU rRNA". It matches the Rfam family "Bacterial small subunit ribosomal RNA", at positions 29 to 1378 of the family's 1533-position model. Lineage: Bacteria; Bacillati; Bacillota; Bacilli; Lactobacillales; Lactobacillaceae. The record is from RNAcentral.
AUGAACGCCGGCGGUGUGCCUAAUACAUGCAAGUCGUACGCACUGGCCCAACUGAUUGAUGGUGCUUGCACCUGAUUGACGAUGGAUCACCAGUGAGUGGCGGACGGGUGAGUAACACGUAGGUAACCUGCCCCGGAGCGGGGGAUAACAUUUGGAAACAGAUGCUAAUACCGCAUAACAACAAAAGCCACAUGGCUUUUGUUUGAAAGAUGGCUUUGGCUAUCACUCUGGGAUGGACCUGCGGUGCAUUAGCUAGUUGGUAAGGUAACGGCUUACCAAGGCGAUGAUGCAUAGCCGAGUUGAGAGACUGAUCGGCCACAAUGGAACUGAGACACGGUCCAUACUCCUACGGGAGGCAGCAGUAGGGAAUCUUCCACAAUGGGCGCAAGCCUGAUGGAGCAACACCGCGUGAGUGAAGAAGGGUUUCGGCUCGUAAAGCUCUGUUGUUGGAGAAGAACGUGCGUGAGAGUAACUGUUCACGCAGUGACGGUAUCCAACCAGAAAGUCACGGCUAACUACGUGCCAGCAGCCGCGGUAAUACGUAGGUGGCAAGCGUUAUCCGGAUUUAUUGGGCGUAAAGCGAGCGCAGGCGGUUGCUUAGGUCUGAUGUGAAAGCCUUCGGCUUAACCGAAGAAGUGCAUCGGAAACCGGGCGACUUGAGUGCAGAAGAGGACAGUGGAACUCCAUGUGUAGCGGUGGAAUGCGUAGAUAUAUGGAAGAACACCAGUGGCGAAGGCGGCUGUCUGGUCUGCAACUGACGCUGAGGCUCGAAAGCAUGGGUAGCGAACAGGAUUAGAUACCCUGGUAGUCCAUGCCGUAAACGAUGAGUGCUAGGUGUUGGAGGGUUUCCGCCCUUCAGUGCCGGAGCUAACGCAUUAAGCACUCCGCCUGGGGAGUACGACCGCAAGGUUGAAACUCAAAGGAAUUGACGGGGGCCCGCACAAGCGGUGGAGCAUGUGGUUUAAUUCGAAGCUACGCGAAGAACCUUACCAGGUCUUGACAUCUUGCGCUAACCUUAGAGAUAAGGCGUUCCCUUCGGGGACGCAAUGACAGGUGGUGCAUGGUCGUCGUCAGCUCGUGUCGUGAGAUGUUGGGUUAAGUCCCGCAACGAGCGCAACCCUUGUUACUAGUUGCCAGCAUUAAGUUGGGCACUCUAGUGAGACUGCCGGUGACAAACCGGAGGAAGGUGGGGACGACGUCAGAUCAUCAUGCCCCUUAUGACCUGGGCUACACACGUGCUACAAUGGACGGUACAACGAGUCGCAAGCUCGCGAGAGUAAGCUAAUCUCUUAAAGCCGUUCUCAGUUCGGACUGUAGGCUGCAACUCGCCUACACGAAGUCGGAAUCGCUAGUAAUCGCGGAUCAGCAUGCCGCGGUGAAUACGUUCCCGGG